AUUCCAGUGGAAAUCUAUUGAAGUGUCCGGCUGCAGCAACUCUCUGUUUAAACGGCGUGGGCUGAUUUUGAAACUGACUGUAUGCAUGCUGAACCUCUCUACCAAGGCAAGAUGACACCAUUUUCUAAGAAUAUGGUUUCUGUCCCUCUCUGGAUACCAGUCGUAAUCCUUUUUGUUUCUCUUUGUGAUGGUGGCAAAAUCUUGGUGGUACCUUUGGAGGGAAGUCACUGGGUGAACAUGGACAUCCUCAUCAAGGCUUUACAUGGUCAAGGACACAGCAUUGAUGUAUUACGCACCUCUAAUAGCUGGUUCAUCAAGGAGAAUUCAGCUUAUUAUGGCUCUAUAACCAUACCUAACACCAAAGGAAUGGAUGAAGAAUUUGUAGAAGAAAUGCUUUCCCAAGCAAUCAACUUUGAAAUUGGAAAGAGCAGCUGGCUGGGCUCUGUUUGGCUGUAUUUGGAUACACUUAAUUACACUUAUAAAAUGCAUGAAAUGAUAUGUCAGCUUAUAACAAACAUGUUUGAAAGUGAGGAAAUUAUGAAGACACUGAAGGAAAAGCAAUACGAUCUGGUGCUCACUGAUCCUGUAUGGGGUGCAGGCAUUUUCCUGGCUCAUAAAUUCAAGUUACCCAUGGUAUAUAAUGUGAGAUGGACCACUCCUGGAGAGGGACACUUUGAGAUUGCUCCCUCACCGCUGUCUUACAUCCCUAUCACAAGAUCUGGAAACACAGACAAAAUGAACUUUUUUCAACGAGUACAAAAUAGUUUCUAUUAUUUGCUAAUGUACUUUCAAUAUGGCUAUUUUAAUUUGGCACAGUACCAAGCACUUUGUGACAAAUAUUUCUAUCCACCUGUAAGCUUUUAUGAACUUCUCCAGGGGGCUGAUAUAUGGCUUAUGAGGGUUGAUUUUGUUUUUGAAUUUCCACGUCCAACAAUGCCAAAUAUCAUCUACGUUGGUGGUUUCCAGUGCAAACCAGCAAAGGCCCUUCCACAUGACCUGGAAGUCUUCGUGCAAAGUUCUGGAGAGCAUGGAGUCGUUAUCAUGUCUUUAGGGUCAUUUAUCAGUGUCUUACCAGAUGAGAUAACAGCAGAAAUAGCGGCUGCUUUUGCUCGGCUCCCUCAAAAGGUGAUUUGGAGAUACACUGGAAAAAGGCCAUCUACUUUGGGCAACAACACAUUGCUGGUUGACUGGAUGCCACAGAAUGAUCUUCUAGGGCAUCCAAAGACUAAAGUUUUUAUUGCACAUGGUGGAACUAAUGGGGUUCAAGAAGCUUUGUACCAUGGGAUUCCAGUGAUUGGAAUUCCACUGUUUUUUGACCAGUACGACAAUCUUGUUAGAUUGCAAGACAGGGGAGGAGCCAAGAUAGUUACCAUCGCAACUUUAAAUAAAAACACACUGCACGCGGCCAUACAAGAAGUAAUCAGUGAGCCAUCCUACAGACUGAGUGUGCAGAGACUCUCUCAUCUGCACAGAGACACGCCGGUUAAACCUUUGGACAGCGCCCUCUUCUGGAUUGAGUUUGUAAUGAGACACAAAGGUGCUGCUCACCUUCGUUCAGAAUCCUAUAAACUGCCUUGGUACUCCUAUUACUCAGUAGAUGUUGCAGUUACAUUGUUCGCAGUUGUUUUGAUAAUCACUUUCUCCAUAUUUUUCACAGUUAGAUAUAUGUGUGUCAAGUGCUGCAGCAGAAAAAGGAAAACUGAAUGACACGUUUCCAUAUGAAGUAGAUUAUUCUUGCAUGUAUGUCCCACUCAUGCUCAUGUAAUGAGCAGCACACUGAACUUGGUACAACAAUUAAUAAUGACAUGUAGAAUCUGGCCCGAAAACUAAAUAUCCUGACCUUUUCGAGUCAGAUUUAACAUAAUGUCAUUAUUAAUCAUUGUACCAAGUUCAGUGUGUUGUUCAUUACAUAAGUAGUAAAGAAUGGGUCAUAUAUGCACUUACGGUCAAACUGCUAAAUGAGUAAAUGUAAAUGUCUCUUUUAGAAAGCAGGUAUGGUAACUCUAUUGCAAAAGAAUCAGAAAUGUAUCAAAAUCUCAGACAAUUCAGACUUUCAGACUAAAUUUUA
RNA transcript from Sinocyclocheilus anshuiensis, 2068 nucleotides. It is a transcript of the gene named UDP-glucuronosyltransferase 2C1-like, with no coding region annotated. Lineage: Eukaryota; Metazoa; Chordata; Actinopteri; Cypriniformes; Cyprinidae. The record is from RefSeq and is a predicted model, not a curated record. The transcript is spliced from 3 exons.